CAAGCGUUGUUCGGAAUUACUGGGCGUAAAGGGCUCGUAGGUGGCCAACUAAGUCAGACGUGAAAUCCCCAGGCUCAACUUGGGAACUGCGUCUGAUACUGGAUGGCUUGAAUUCGGGAGAGGGAUGCAGAAUUCCAGGUGUAGCGGUGAAAUGCGUAGAUAUCUGGAGGAAUACCGGUGGCGAAGGCGGCAUCCUGGACCGAGAUUGACACUGAUGAGCGAAAGCCAGGGGAGCAAACGGG
RNAcentral lists this ribosomal RNA (242 nucleotides) under uncultured bacterium. RNAcentral's name for it is "partial 16S ribosomal RNA". It matches the Rfam family "Bacterial small subunit ribosomal RNA", at positions 535 to 776 of the family's 1533-position model. The record is from RNAcentral.